GCCCUCGUAGCUCAUCUGGUAGAACGUCCGCUGUACAGACGUGCAGGCGGGGUCCAUGCGUGGGUUCGAAUCCCACCGAGGAUG
RNAcentral lists this transfer RNA (84 nucleotides) under Echinostoma caproni. It matches the Rfam family "tRNA". Rfam says of the family: Transfer RNA (tRNA) molecules are approximately 80 nucleotides in length. The record is from Rfam by way of RNAcentral. Lineage: Eukaryota; Metazoa; Platyhelminthes; Trematoda; Plagiorchiida; Echinostomatidae.